UGGAACAAAACACAAAAGACAACUUAUUAGCAAGAGACAAAUUGCUCAGCAAGUUUCAAUGAGCUGCUAUGUUUGUCAUGAAAAAAACCCUUUUAUUUGCACAGAUCAAUGCUUUUAUAAUCCAUUUAAAAUAAUAUACUUGCCACUAGGUGGCUAUUUCUGAUCAGAUCAUUUUACCAUUUUAAUUACAUUUUUAAUAUCCUGGCUGCAUAAACAAAGAUAAAUUACAAGCCUUGCACAAUCUGGCUGCUAGCUCGGGCACAAUCUGUAAUAAUAUCAGCUUUUGUUUGUGCCUCCUCUAAUUAGAUUCUGAAAUCUAGGCUUUAUCAAUCAAUAAUUUUAAUUUCAGAAUUGCCUUUUGAUCUUACAUUUCAUGUUUGUUUGCAGAAAAUGAUCAGUAGGACAAAGCUGAUAAUUUAUGCAGAAACAAUCUCUCAGCAGAGUUACAAGCACAUUCCUAGCCAUCAACACAACCCGGCAGACUAAGCUUGACACAGGUCUAAUUAGCAUGCAGAUAUGUGUCGCCUCAUUGGCAAUUCAAAUUGCUUUUUUAUAAUGUACCUCAAAUUGUGCUACUCAAACAUUGUAUUUGAUUUCCAAAGCCCCCUGGGCAUCCCAUAAUGUCUCCCUUCAUCCUGGGUACGAAGCAUUUAUUGAACAAUCUGCUUCGACUCUGGCUAUCUUUUCGAAAACACCCAAAUGUCGUAACCGUGGGACCAGCUUUUCCUCCUCGUCAGACAGCAACUUGUUCUUCUGCGGAGCGGCGGGUGCCACGUCCAUAGGUUUAGCGAUGAUAUGUUACCUUGCGAGCUCCUGCUCCCACGGUGGCUGCUCUAUAGAGGGCUUCGUUCCUGUGCCACUCAUUUAAAAAGGGGGAGGAUGUCUACAGAGCGCACAUUAAUAUGCGGCACAUAACCACGUCUCUGAAUGCCAGCCUUCCAUUCUUCAUUAAACAAAAUGGCUGGAUUGCAGUGAUUGUUUUCCCCUCCACACGCGCGCGCGCGCACAGGCACACACACCACGCACGCAGGCACAUACCCACACACCCCCCACACGUACUCCGGCUUUCUCUCCUUUUUCUCCCUCACACAUACGCACGCACUUUCCCCCGCGCACACAAACACAAACACUCACACACACACACACACACACCCCCCGCAUCCCCUGCCGUAGCGUGUCGUUGUCAGCGCGGUGAGUUACGUGCGAAAAGUUGUCUGCGGCAUGCGUGACACGCGAGGAGAUUCCUGCCAACGUCAGGGCCCUUUUUUGCCAUGCAGCAACAAGUGGCAGAAUCAAUGGUGUACAGUUAUUCAGCAAUGUAAUUCAUUUCACUGGCUUUGGCUCCUAGCCAGAUCCGCCAUCUGUCUCUUGCUCUCCCUCUCUCUCUCUCGCCUGAAUUUGUCCUACAUUUCGUAAUGUUACGUGCUUGCCAUCCUUAUUCUAUGUCAGAGGUACAGCACGAGCCUCACCCCCGUUCCGGCGUGGAGUUCUCUGAGUUCGGUGGCACUUUGGAUAUUCCACUUCUGUGCCAUGGGAAGAAAAGGAGUAUCUUCGUUUUCUUUAUUGGAUGCUGGCACUGUACGCCACUGCACAGCUCCGUGGAAUGCCUGCUGUUGGAUACUUGCAGAUCCCUGCCACCAAGCAACCUCCUGCAUUGGAAAUCGGGUGACUACUCCAGGAUCUUAUGCGUGCUUGCUGUUUGAAGCUGCAGAAAAGUGAAUAAUCAAUUAAGUAUUGAUUUCUUGUAAGAUUUGGUAAAUUUCAAAGGCAAGACAAAGAGGAUGGCUUAAGGAAAGCACUGCAGGGACUUGGCGUAAAUUAGACAACUAACAGCAGUGCAGAAUAAAAUAACACCUCAACUGAAUAUUUCCUUGGAAGAAUUAGCACUAGCUAUUGGAAGACGAUGGUGGAUUUAAUCAAGACGGCAGGCACGCUUGAGUUUUAACCGUGAACCUGAAAGAGGAGCUAAUUAUAACCACCUUUUUAUAUGGAGCUAAUUUGACUGAAUGGAUGCAAAUGUGCUUUAUUUAUGGAUGAAGAAGCAAGCCUUACAGCAUUGACUUUGGGAUCAUCGCAAAUGCUAAGCUUUACAGCUUCUCUAAAAGUCAAGCCUACAGUACAUUUUUAUUUACUGAGAAGGUAUUUAUAUGUAAGCAUAAGCUAGCCGUACAAAAGAUUCAUCAGAACAAUGUACUGUGGCACUGAGGAUCUAAUUAUAAUUUUGCAACAUUUCAUGUUUUUUCUAAUUUGGUGCUUUUCAACCUUUGCUUGUGAUGGGCUAUAAAUGGGACAAUAAAUGUAUGAUUUAAACUAU
Long non-coding RNA from Chroicocephalus ridibundus (black-headed gull), 2314 nucleotides. RefSeq lists it as uncharacterized. The transcript has 2 exons. Lineage: Eukaryota; Metazoa; Chordata; Aves; Charadriiformes; Laridae. The record is from RefSeq and is a predicted model, not a curated record.